UACUGCUAUCUGCCACUGGCAACACUGGUGUUCUCUUGGUUAUAAACUUCUGUAAAGUUCAUUUUUGGUUUCUUUAUUGGUUAUUGUUGUGGUUAUUGAGAUAUUUUAUGAAUGAAACAGAAGGUGGAUUAGAGUAAAUUAUUGGUGUUAUUCCUUCAACAAUGCAGAUUUGCGUGAUAUGCCUCGAUACUGAUUGUAAGCUUUUACUGAUGGGUGAACACAAAUUGAAAGCAGCAUAUGAGAAGUUAACCGGAUAUCCUUUAUGUGAUCAAGGAAACAUUAAGCAAACACUUUGCGAACGUUGUGCUCAGAAAUUGACAGACUUUAGUAGAUUUAGAGACGAGAGCUUAAGGGCCCGUGCCCUGAUGAUAAACUUGGUUGGAAAACACGAAUUAAUAACAGAAAGACAUAUAGAAAUAAUAAAUCAGAUGAAACAAAAACUAAAGAGUGAUAUGGUGUUGACAACACUAGAACCUGACCACUGUGACAUACAGAUACUGGAACAUCCCUCCGAAGACCAACAGACAGAAUUAGAGCAAACUGGACAUGGAGUUGUGGUGAAAUCUGAAGAAUGUGAUGACUCUGUGUUGGUUGAUGAAAAUAUGAAAGUGAUAAAUGAAGGUGACAAUAAUGUCAAUGAUUUGGUUCAGGAUCCCAUAGAAUAUGGAGGUGUUCCCUUCCGAUGUUCAUUUUGUUUGGAAGAAUUCGUUGAUGAACAUGACACGUCACAUGUACACAUUGUAAACAUGCGGCAUAUGAGCAUGAAUCUCCAGAACGGUGAUGGUGAAUGUGAGACGUCGCAAGUACCUUUACAGCACGCAGACCCCAGCAAUUCCGUACGCGUGGCUCAGACCUUACGCGCAUCUUUGCCGUUAAGUCUUGCGACCGAAGAUGCCGAUGCAGACGACAGUUGCCGAAACAAAAUAUUAACUGAUUGUUUUGUCAAAUUACACGAUGUUUUGUCUAAGAAAGUUGUGCCAAGACGAGAUGGAUCGCUGACAAAACAAGAGAAAGCUGUUAGGUUGUGCGACAGACAGAACAUUAGGUUUAAAGAUAUCAGUUAUCAAGCAACUAGUCAGAAUGAAGUCCCUCCAAUAGAAUAUGUUAAACCAGUCGCUGAUGAAGAGAAAGUUACUGUCUCAAAAACUGUGCCCACUCUCCAUAAUGCAUCUAAAGAUAUCCGUUAUCAAGCCAUAAGUCAGACUGAAGUCCCUCCAAUAGAAUAUGUCGUCACUGUGUCAAAACCAGUCUACAGGUGUGACUUUUGUCAAAACACAUUUAAACAACAGAGUCUCCUAGUCAAACACAUGCAGUGUCAUGGAAUAGACAAUCAAUUUGUUUGCGAGAUUUGUCAAUUCAAAACUAAAUAUAAAGCCAAUUUAGCAGUGCACAUGAGAAUUCAUACUGAUGAAAGGCCAUAUCCUUGUACAAUAUGCGAGAGUAAGUUUAGAUUACCGACUCAUUUAAAGAUUCACAUGAGAACUCACACUGGUGAAAGGCCAUAUUCUUGCAGACUAUGUAAGAAAAAAUUUACGUCAUCAUACCAUUUAAAGAGGCACUUGAGUAGUCAUACUGGUGACAAGCCAUAUACUUGCACAUAUUGCAAGAAUAAGUUCAUAUCAAAUAGUUAUUUAUUGAUACAUAUGAGAACGCACACUGGUGAAAAGCCUUUCAAAUGCAAGUUAUGUGACUACAGUAGUGCACAAAAUAGCCUUAAAACCCACAUGAGAACUCACACUGGUGAAAAGCCAUUUACAUGUGACAUAUGCCAAUUUAAAACUGCACAAAAAACCAGUUUAUUAAGGCAUAUGAAAACUCACCGCUAAAGCUUUUACGCUUAUUGCGUAGGUUCUUGUAGAUGUACACGUACGUCAGAUUUUCCAACCCUUAAGGAUUCUACAGGAAGACUCACGGCCGUAUUCACAAUCAUUACUAUGAGAACUCAUAGGCGGCCCUUACACAGUCAGUUUAGAUCGCGAUCAAGUAGCUCUUAUCGCGAUCACAGAUUGAUGGAUUGCGCUACAACAUUACACGUUCAAUCUCGAUUUCGUCAGUCCGUGUUAUCCUACGCAGCGUGAACACGUGUUAUCAUGGAUUUACAUGAUGUUAACGCUGUAGUAAGUCUUGUCUUAGCCCUAACUUUGAAGAAGAGGAUUCGUAGAAGGCGCUGGGUUAAACAGUGGUUACAGAAAAAAGAAGUGUAUAUACUCAUUUAAAUCUUCUUAAAGAAAUACAACUAACUGCUGAAGAUGAUGAUUACAAAAACUACUUCAGGAUGGAUGAAAAUCUUUAAACGGGUUACUACUACACAUGAUAACUCCAUAUAUAAUAAAACUGACUGACGCGAUCCUGCGUUUACACGUUCAAUCUUGAUCACGAUCAGUGGAUCGCGAUCUUGAUUUCAAAAUAUCCAGAUAUUUUGUGAUCAGAUGCAUCAAUCCGUCAAUCUACUCCGUACAUUAUCAAUCUGGAUCAUUGAUUUAGAUCGCGGAUCGCGAUCUAAAUUGACUGUGUAAGGGCUGCCUUAGUAACGUUUGUGAAUACGCGUGUUAUAUCCCUUGAAUACCACUCGAGAAAUCCCAUUGGAAUCAUGAAACGUAAAUCUCUGGGGAUAAGCGAAAUAGCACAAAAUAAGGCUAAAUAGCAAUUAUAACACCCCUCUUUUUGGGUCGGGGGUUAAAAAAUAGAAUUCCUAAUAGAAACUUGUCAAGUAUGGUUGAGCAGACUAGCCAAACUGAGCACCAAAAUCCAUAAUUCAUCCGAUUCUCAUUGGGAAUUCUUACUCGUGUAAUUAUUAUUUAUCAAUCGUUUUAAGGGUGCCAACGGGACCCUAUUAAUUAGCCUCCAGAGUCGAUUCGUCCUUCCGUUCGUCUUGUCUUUCAGCGGACUGUUUCUUGAACCGUAGGUAGCUGAAAUUUGCACGUAUGUACCUGAUGUGUCCGCUACAACAACAAAUAAUUAAAAUACAAAAUGGCCACCAUGAAUAUUGUUAUUUCUUGUACGAUGGCCAUGGUAGUUCUUCAUGAGCGAGUCCGAGUCGCACUUGACCGGUGUUAUAAUAUACUUUUUAAGAGUUUAAGCAUAUGUUAUAAUAUUAAAAUAAAAUACACACCUC
Molecule: RNA transcript, 3115 nt
Organism: Maniola jurtina (meadow brown)
Lineage: Eukaryota; Metazoa; Arthropoda; Insecta; Lepidoptera; Nymphalidae
Gene name: zinc finger protein 2-like
Exons: 8
Source: RefSeq, a predicted model, not a curated record